AGAGUUUGAUCAUGGCUCAGGACGAACGCUGGCGGCGUGCCUAACACAUGCAAGUCGAGCGAGGUCCAACCAGUGGCAACACUGGGGAAGACCUAGCGGCGAACGGGUGAGUAUCACGUGAGAAACUUGCCCCGGAGUUCGGGAUAACUCGAGGAAACUCGAGCUAAUACCGAAUGCCCUCUUCUGAUCGCAUGAUCGGAUGAGGAAAGAUUUAUCGCUCCGGGAGAGUCUCGCGGCCUAUCAGCUAGUUGGCGGGGUAACGGCCCACCAAGGCAUCGACGGGUAGCUGGUCUGAGAGGACGAUCAGCCACACUGGGACUGAGACACGGCCCAGACUCCUACGGGAGGCAGCAGUGGGGAAUCUUGCGCAAUGGGCGAAAGCCUGACGCAGCAACGCCGCGUGCGGGAUGACGGCCUUCGGGUUGUAAACCGCUUUCAGCAGGGAAGAAAUUGACGGUACCUGCAGAAGAAGCCCCGGCCAACUACGUGCCAGCAGCCGCGGUAACACGUAGGGGGCGAGCGUUGUCCGGAUUUAUUGGGCGUAAAGAGCUCGUAGGCGGUUCGCUAAGUCGGGUGUGAAACCUCCAGGCUCAACCUGGAGACGCCACCUGAUACUGGUGUGACUAGAGUCCGGUAGGGGAGUGUGGAACUCCUGGUGUAGCGGUGAAAUGCGCAGAUAUCAGGAAGAACACCAGCGGCGAAGGCGGCACUCUGGGCCGGUACUGACGCUGAGGAGCGAAAGCGUGGGUAGCAAACAGGAUUAGAUACCCUAGUAGUCC
Molecule: ribosomal RNA, 779 nt
Filed under: uncultured bacterium
Lineage: Bacteria
Description: bacterial SSU rRNA
Rfam family: Bacterial small subunit ribosomal RNA
Source: RNAcentral